This 867-nucleotide ribosomal RNA is filed under the name uncultured Neocallimastigales. Its description in RNAcentral is "partial large subunit ribosomal RNA". It matches the Rfam family "Eukaryotic large subunit ribosomal RNA", at positions 1 to 636 of the family's 3401-position model. The record is from RNAcentral. Lineage: Eukaryota; Fungi; Neocallimastigomycota; Neocallimastigomycetes; Neocallimastigales.
CGCAUCUGUGCAUGCAGCAUAUCAAUAAGCGGAGGAAAAGAGGGCUAUUACCUACGCUUAGGAUGUUGACACACGCGCGUGCUCGACUCUAUACAUGACUCUGUGCAUAUCAAUAAGCGGAGGAAAAGAAACUAACAAGGAUUCCCUUAGUAACGGCGAGUGAAGCGGGAAGAGCUCAAAUUUGAAAUCUUCAAGGUUUUACCUUGACGAAUUGUAGUUUAAAGAAGUGUUUUCUGUUGAAGUUUUGGUAAAAGUUCUUUGGAAUAGGACAUCAUAGAGGGUGAGAAUCCCGUAUUUGACCAUUAUUUUCAGCUGUGUGAUACACUUUCAAAGAGUCGGAUUGUUUGGGAAUGCAGUCCAAAAUGGGUGGUAAAUUUCAUCUAAAGCUAAAUAUUGGCGAGAGACCGAUAGCGAACAAGUACCGUGAGGGAAAGAUGAAAAGAACUUUGAAAAGAGAGUUAAACAGUACGUGAAAUUGUCAAAAGGGAAGCGUUUGACACCAGUGUUGUUUUUCUGAAAAUCAAUUAAAGAACUGUUUAUGCUAAGUUGUUUAGACUUUAUCAGCUAACUGUUUAGUUUUGAGCUUUUCUUUAAUGCACUUUUCAGUUAACAAGUCAACAUCAAUUUCUUUUGCUGUAAAAAAGCUUGAGGAAGGUGGCUUGAGAUUCGUCUUAAGUGUUUAUAGCCUCUUGCCUAUGCAGUCGGAGAGAUUGAGGUCUGCAGCGUAGAUCCUUCGGGGCUAAAUGCAUUUGUGCUAAGCUACUAGCAUUUUCAUAGACAACUUGUUGACUAUGAUUUAGUCUUGUAAGCUUACCUCGCUUAUGCUAUUUUACCUACGCUUAGGAUGUUGAUAUGCAUGACUGAUAU